This 275-nucleotide long non-coding RNA is filed under the name Homo sapiens (human). Its description in RNAcentral is "HSALNT0141849". The record is from RNAcentral. Lineage: Eukaryota; Metazoa; Chordata; Mammalia; Primates; Hominidae.
AGAAAAAGCACACAAUCCAACUGAAGAGUGAAAGAUGCAGACUUCAGGACAUCAAAGCUUCAGUGAGAAACAUAAUAGUAUAGAUUUGAGGUCCCCUAGCUCCUGAGGAAACAAAAAUGAUUAAUGGAAUUACUGUGGUCUGUGAUCAGUGAAGAUGUCUAUUGAGAAAAAUAAUCAGGAUUGGCACCACAACAUCAGAAGUUAUGCUAUUACCAGGCUCAGGAGCCACAAGUGCAAGUUUGUUACCUGAGUAUAUCGUGUAAUGCUGAAGUUUG